ACUGGGUGUGGUGGCGCACACCUGUAAUCCCAGCGCUCAGGAGGCUGAGGCAGGAGGAUCUCAAAACCAACCUCAG
Molecule: small RNA, 76 nt
Filed under: Marmota monax (woodchuck)
Lineage: Eukaryota; Metazoa; Chordata; Mammalia; Rodentia; Sciuridae
Source: RNAcentral